GAGAAUUAUACUCCUCCCAUCCGUUCACAAAAAAGACCCUAGGGGUCUGUUUGAAAAUAAAGGAGAGGAGAGGCAGCUAGGGUGAAACCCUAGCGCCACCUCCUGUUCCCACCACCAAACCCGCCUAUCGUCGGUCAUGUCCCAUCGUAUUUGGCUAGUAGCGUGAGGAGAGAAGGCGAAGACAUUAAUGCUUUGUCCUUCUCCCCACAAAAUAGGGCCAAACGAACCCUUAAAGCCUCAGGCCCAACAGGACCUUUAUUCAAUUAAGAUCGAGUCCGAGAAGAAAAUAAGAGUGAGGCGCGCAGAAGGCCCAACCAUGGGUGAAAAUGGCCACUAGGGGCUUGGUACGCCCCUAAUUUUAAUUUAUUUCCGUAUAUGUAUGAUUUUAUUUGUAUGUAAUUAUGUGUAUUCAACUCAUAUUAUAGUGAAAAAUCCGUAUGAUU
This is a long non-coding RNA of Lycium ferocissimum, 443 nucleotides long. RefSeq lists it as uncharacterized. The record is from RefSeq and is a predicted model, not a curated record. Lineage: Eukaryota; Viridiplantae; Streptophyta; Magnoliopsida; Solanales; Solanaceae. The transcript is spliced from 2 exons.